GUAAUAUGUUAAGAUGAAAGUGUUCUAGAGUGUGUAUAACAGACACUCUAGAACAUUUUCAUCUUAACAUAUUACAAAGUGU
This is a non-coding RNA of Paramuricea clavata, 82 nucleotides long. NCBI's taxonomy places the organism in Eukaryota, Metazoa, Cnidaria, Anthozoa, Malacalcyonacea, Plexauridae. The record is from the annotation of a GenBank genome assembly.